AGUCCUCAAAGGGUUAAAGUUAAUGAGAUAAUUAAGUGACUAAUUAAAUGAUGAUUGUGUAUUAGUGAUGAACAUCUGCUGUUAACAAUCAACAUCACUGAAGUAAAGAGAAAUACAAGAACUACAACUGAAUUUAGCCACAGCCUUCAACUGAAAAAAAAAAACAGGCCUCAUGUUGUUCUUUUAUUUUUCUUAUCUCGGCGCCGGACAGCUGUUGUCUUUUCCUGGGCAUAGUUGUCCAUCAGUUAUGAUCAUUUGCAGACAGCCACUAACAUUAGAGAUCAACUGGAGCCCCAAAGUGUGUUAUAUGGUUCUGUGAGGGCAUCCGUUGUUCGGUUCAUAGCAGCAGGACAGGAAGAAGCCGCUUCAUCUUUAAACUAAAUGCACAUCAAACAAAUGGCCACUCGUAUGCAGAAGAUGUCUGGCCCCCUCAACAGCUCAAAGCUUGUUUCUGAAGAAAACCAACCACAGCAGGUUUCAGUUUGACUCAGAAAAUGAGCUGCUAGUGUCACACCUCAGACUGAUGAUACUAUUGCAACAACUGAAUGAUCAUAAAACCAUUUAAAACUAUUUAUUUCUUCAUUAAAUUCAGUUUGACUAUUAAUCCUAUGCAAAAUAUUUUUUUCUCUUCCAGGCCUACAUAUUUUUAAAAAGUCAAACCAUUAAUGUUAAAUGAUAAAAACGUUUUAAAUUUGUAUAAAGACUUUUUGAUAAAGCAUAUCCCAACAUUAAUCAUUAAAAUUAACUUAAAUGUUUUUGGCCUAUAUUAUAUGUAACCAUGCACUGAUUGAUUAAUUUACAUUGUGUGUGUGUUUGUGUGUGUGCGUGAUAUUGUGUGUCUGACUCGGAAGGUCAGAAUCUGUCGGAAGAGGUUUCAAA
This is a long non-coding RNA of Carassius gibelio (silver crucian carp), 879 nucleotides long. RefSeq lists it as uncharacterized. The transcript is spliced from 3 exons. NCBI's taxonomy places the organism in Eukaryota, Metazoa, Chordata, Actinopteri, Cypriniformes, Cyprinidae. The record is from RefSeq and is a predicted model, not a curated record.